GGCCAGUCGUCAGUCAGUUGGCCAACAAACUGGUAGCGUCUGGUGUGGCGAGCCAACAAAAGGCUGGCAGAGCGGCCAACACCGGACCCGGCCCGAAACUGAAUCCGGGUCCGGGUCUGGGUCCGUGUCCGUGUCCGGGUUGGUUUCGCAGCAUCUACGGCAUCACGGCUGCCAAUUGAGCGGAGUUUGGGUCUCAAUUUGACGCGUAGCCAGCCAAGAAGAGUGGCCGGCCAACAACAAAAACAGGUGACGCAGGAUGUGGCCAACUGAGUAGGGAGAUGGCGGAAGAGCAGGAGGCGCAGGAGGAGGAGGAGGAGGAGGAGGAGGAGGAAACGCAGCACACUUUUUUGGCCACGGUCCGCGUUUGAUUAGCCAACUCAAACAUCAGGGCCAAGAUCAGGGCAAUUGACAGCUCUGCUCCCUCAGUUUCUGCUUCCGCUUGGCACACAGUCACAGAGACACACAUUGCCUUAUGGCCACUGGACGAUGGACCACAGUGGAGCCUGGGCAGUACGCAACACCUGACGCUGCCCGCCAGGAUACUCCCGUUCGUCUCGAUCAUACAGCAAAUAAGAAACAUUAAAUAAACAAUCAAAGAAACGGAGUAUUGCUCCGCAACUGCCAACAACAUUCAACGACAACCAGUUGCUCUGUGGUGCUAGAAAGUGAGUGUAAACAGUGUGUGCCUUUGUGAACUGAACUGACCAACGUGCCAAGAACGAAGGGACGAGGAGGUGGGCACUCUGGCUCGGACCCAAGCGAUUUGGCAGGAGCUGAUUGUUUCAUCUGGCCAGGCUUAAUGAAAUAACUCGUCCUGGCCGCGGCUCCAUGUCAAACGCAGCAGGGCAAUCGCCAGCGAAGCCCCAAAGGAUAAGCAUCGUCCAGAACAUCGGAAUCUCCAGCGAAGGAUGCACCAAAAACAUUAUCCACAGGACUAAGAUGCCAAAGGAAACUUUCAAGAUCCGUUUCCAAAACAAAACAUAAAAUAUAUUCAAUAAAAAUGAAGUGGAAAUGAAAUGAUACAUAAUAAAUACCCUAAUACAUAACAGAAACAAAAGCAAGUCACUAAACUUGACUGCAAAUAUAAUACGAUGACACUUAAUAGAAACAUUGUAAUAAAAUUGAAAAGAAGUAGACAAGAAUAACCACUCAUAAAACUAAAAUACCCAGCCUAUAACUAUUUUUCAAAUAGUUGGCAUAGUGCUUACUAUGAACCAUAAUCGCAUAUGAUAUAACCAAUAUUGAGCACUUAAUAUAGCCCAAUAUUAUAUAGACCCAAAUAUGAAAUAGUCACAAACAAUAGUGCAAUACAAUACGUUUAUAAAACAACGUCAAAAGUUUUAUAACGAAAAUAUAUUUCUUUAUAAUGAGCACUUUCGAACAACUACAUUUAAUAUAAAAUAGCGCGGGAAGUCUUCGGCGUGGUGAAAGUAUAAGGUGUAAGCACAGCUGAGAAGAAAGGAAUUUACAAAAUCGAAGGAAGAAGUGAAAGAAGGAGUGAAAAAACAUCUAAGCGCGGAAAAGUGCUACAAAAUGCUGACAUCCUAAAGGAAACCUUGUUGGCCAAUUGGGGAGGAGGCCCAGAAGGUCGGGCCGAUUUUCCGCUGCAACCGACGAAGGUCUGACCAACCAAUCGCAACGCACAGCGGCGACGAAGCCCGGCCGAAUGGGAGCAUCUCGGGCAAACGGAGGGACAGUCAGCCGCCCUGCAAUGCAUUUCUUUUGGCAACGAGUCAAGCGGCCUUUCACACACACACACACACACAUUAGGAUUCCAUAAGGAUACUCUGCCUCGCUCACAUGCGCAUCGAGUGGUAUACGUAAUAUAUCAAGUAUACGCCUGUUGGCCGGGCAGAAAGUCUGUGAGUGUGUGCGAAUGGCCAAACAGAGUGUUGCCAACUGCAUUGCCGGGCUGCCAACGACUCAACCCCCGACCCGAGGACACCACCCUCCUCCCGGCCAGGAGGCCAACGACGAGUCCUUUUUGGAGGCAGCGCAUUGGCUGCAGGACGACCGGCGACAGGACGACCAAUCACCAAUCAAAUCGCGGCUUGUGCGCACUAUCACGGCCGUACGAAGGGCCAAAGGCACGGCAUCCAGGACCUCAGCCGGAGACCCCAAGCCGAUUGUCAAUCUCUUAGACAUAUUAUUAUGCCAACGUCUCCUAUAUUAUAGUUCUCUAGUCGUAAGUCACAUGCCCAAGCCAUCGCCCCAGAACAUCGGGGACAUGAAACAUUAGUUUUAUUGAUAGAGUUCUUAGUUUCGAGCAGAAGCUAUACGAUGAUGAUUUCAAGAAUGAGAAAACGGAAUAAAAACUGUAAAGCUUCAGAGCGGAAC
RNAcentral lists this long non-coding RNA (2337 nucleotides) under Drosophila melanogaster (fruit fly). RNAcentral describes it as "long non-coding RNA:CR31781 (Dmel_CR31781)". Lineage: Eukaryota; Metazoa; Arthropoda; Insecta; Diptera; Drosophilidae. The record is from RNAcentral.